UGGGGAAUAUUUCACAAUGGGCGCAAGCCUGAUGCAGCCAUGCCGCGUGUAUGAAGAAGGCCUUCGGGUUGUAAAGUACUUUCAGCGGGGAGGAAGGGAGUAAAGUUAAUACCUUUGCUCAUUUACGUUACCCGCAGAAGAAGCACCGGCUAACUCCGUGCCAGCAGCCGCGGUAAUACGGAGGGUGCAAGCGUUAAUCGGAAUUACUGGGCGUAAAGCGCACGCAGGCGGUUUGUUAAGUCAGAUGUUAAAUCCCCGGGCUAAACCUGGGAAGUGCAUCUGAAACUGGCAAGCUUGAGUCUCGUAGAGGGGGGUAGAAUUCCAGGUGUAGCGGUGAAAUGCGUAGAGAUCUGGAGGAAUACCGGUGGCGAAGGCGGCCCCCUGGACGAAGACUGACGCUCAGGUGCGAAAGCGUGGGGAGCAAACAGG
Molecule: ribosomal RNA, 429 nt
Filed under: Chloroflexota bacterium
Lineage: Bacteria; Bacillati; Chloroflexota
Description: Chloroflexi bacterium partial 16S ribosomal RNA
Rfam family: Bacterial small subunit ribosomal RNA
Source: RNAcentral